RNAcentral lists this non-coding RNA (111 nucleotides) under Hoyosella subflava DQS3-9A1. RNAcentral describes it as "Amycolicicoccus subflavus DQS3-9A1 TPP riboswitch aptamer (THI element)". It matches the Rfam family "TPP riboswitch aptamer (THI element)". From Rfam's summary of the family: Vitamin B(1) in its active form thiamin pyrophosphate (TPP) is an essential coenzyme that is synthesised by coupling of pyrimidine and thiazole moieties in bacteria. The previously detected thiamin-regulatory element, thi box was extended, resulting in a new, highly conserved RNA secondary structure, the THI element, which is widely distributed in eubacteria and also occurs in some archaea. RNAcentral also lists the same sequence under 1 other name. Lineage: Bacteria; Bacillati; Actinomycetota; Actinomycetes; Mycobacteriales; Hoyosellaceae. The record is from Rfam by way of RNAcentral.
CACAUCUCCAACGGGGGCUCGCACCAGCGGGCUGAGAGGACGGCUAUCGGGCCGUCGACCGUAUGAACCUGACCGGGUAAUGCCGGCGUAGGGAGGGAAUUUUGUCGAAGA